GGUCUGCCGUUGGCCCAGGCAGGGAAGGAAAACUGUUCCUCUCCUCGCCUGCCACCUACUGGCCUCUGCAGGAAGUACCAGAACAACUUUCCUAGGGUGAAAUCCUCUUCAAAGACGAAACGCAGAUAGCCAUAUACUUUCCAAGUUGUCAUAUUCUAAUCACCCAUUUAAAAAUGGAAACUACAUGAAGAACCCUUUCAGUGGCAGUAGACAGAUAUCACCUUUUAAAAAGUGGUUUAGACUGAGACGACCGCGAAGUUGAUUAUGAAGCGCCCUCUGCCACAUUUCUGCCUUGGCGCUGGCUGAGCAUGGAUGGAGUCCCCAGAAACUACAAGCCAAACUAAACUUCUUACUGAAAACUGAGCCCAGGGCAUUUGAACUGAACUUAUAUUCCCACUUCCUUAUGGAGCUGCACCUGCCACUCACAUGGUUACUUCUUUACAGUGACAAAAGAACUACUAUU
This is a long non-coding RNA of Fukomys damarensis (Damara mole-rat), 463 nucleotides long. RefSeq lists it as uncharacterized. The record is from RefSeq and is a predicted model, not a curated record. The transcript is spliced from 3 exons. Lineage: Eukaryota; Metazoa; Chordata; Mammalia; Rodentia; Bathyergidae.